GGUUUAUAGGGUACCUAGACUGAAAACCAAGCCUUAAUCGGGACUAGUUUUCUAGAGUUUUAUGUGAGAAAAUUGAACGAUCAGAGUAGAGUCAAAAUUCGUUAAUACUGGUAAGACGGACCUCGGCGAAGGCUAUUUUCUAUGUAAAAACUGACGUUGAGAUACGAAGCCCAGGGUAGCAAGAAGGAUUAGAUACCCUAGUAGUCCUGGGAGAAAAUUAUGAGUGCCAUAGGUUAGAUAUAUGAUUAAUCUAUAAAUGAAAGUGUAAGCAUUCCACCUCAUGAGUAAAGCGGCAACGCCCAAAUUGAAAUCAUUAGACCGUUUCUGAAACCAGUAGUGAAGUAUGUUAUUUAAUUCGAUGAUCCGCGAAAAACCUUACCACAUUUUGAAUAUUAUUAAAUUUUUACAAGCGCUGCACGGCUGUCUUCAGUUGAUAUCGUGAGAUUUUGGUUAAUUCCUUUAAUUAACGAAAACCCUUGUUUUAUUUUUUCAAAUAAAACUGUUCACCAUUUAUACCAUAUAGGAGAAGAUAAUAGGGACCAAGACAAGUCAUUAUGGCCUUAA
RNAcentral lists this ribosomal RNA (564 nucleotides) under Lichenodiplis lecanorae. RNAcentral describes it as "bacterial SSU rRNA". It matches the Rfam family "Bacterial small subunit ribosomal RNA", at positions 557 to 1204 of the family's 1533-position model. The record is from RNAcentral. Lineage: Eukaryota; Fungi; Ascomycota; Eurotiomycetes; Verrucariales; Verrucariaceae.